RNAcentral lists this ribosomal RNA (2577 nucleotides) under Acinetobacter baumannii 73736. Its description in RNAcentral is "bacterial LSU rRNA". It matches the Rfam family "Bacterial large subunit ribosomal RNA", at positions 3 to 2616 of the family's 2925-position model. The record is from RNAcentral. Lineage: Bacteria; Pseudomonadati; Pseudomonadota; Gammaproteobacteria; Moraxellales; Moraxellaceae.
UCAAGUAAUUAAGUGCAUGUGGUGGAUGCCUUGGCAGUCAGAGGCGAUGAAAGACGUGAUAGCCUGCGAAAAGCUCCGGGGAGGCGGCAAAUAUCCUUUGAUCCGGAGAUGUCUGAAUGGGGGAACCCACCUACUUUAAGGUAGGUAUUGCAACAUGAAUACAUAGUGUUGCAAGGCGAACGAGGGGAAGUGAAACAUCUCAGUACCCUUAGGAAAAGAAAUCAAUUGAGAUUCCCUCAGUAGCGGCGAGCGAACGGGGAUCAGCCCAUUAAGUUAUGUGUGUUUUAGUGGAACGCUCUGGGAAGUGCGAACGUAGAGGGUGAUAUUCCCGUACACGAAAGGGCACACAUAAUGAUGACGAGUAGGGCGAGGCACGUGAAACCUUGUCUGAAUAUGGGGGGACCAUCCUCCAAGGCUAAAUACUCCUGACUGACCGAUAGUGAACCAGUACCGUGAGGGAAAGGCGAAAAGAACCCCUGUGAGGGGAGUGAAAUAGAUCCUGAAACCGCAUGCAUACAAGCAGUGGGAGCACCUUCGUGGUGUGACUGCGUACCUUUUGUAUAAUGGGUCAGCGACUUAUAUUCAGUAGCGAGGUUAACCGUAUAGGGGAGCCGUAGAGAAAUCGAGUCUUAAUAGGGCGUUUAGUUGCUGGGUAUAGACCCGAAACCAGGCGAUCUAUCCAUGAGCAGGUUGAAGGUUGGGUAACACUAACUGGAGGACCGAACCCACUGUCGUUGAAAAGCCAGGGGAUGACUUGUGGAUAGGGGUGAAAGGCUAAUCAAGCCUGGUGAUAGCUGGUUCUCCCCGAAAGCUAUUUAGGUAGCGCCUCGGACGAAUACCAUAGGGGGUAGAGCACUGUUUCGGCUAGGGGGUCAUCCCGACUUACCAAACCGAUGCAAACUCCGAAUACCUAUGAGUACUAUCCGGGAGACAGACUGCGGGUGCUAACGUCCGUAGUCAAGAGGAAAACAAUCCAGACCGCCAGCUAAGGCCCCAAAAUCAUAGUUAAGUGGGAAACGAUGUGGGAAGGCAUAGACAGCUAGGAGGUUGGCUUAGAAGCAGCCACCCUUUAAAGAAAGCGUAAUAGCUCACUAGUCGAGUCGGCCUGCGCGGAAGAUGUAACGGGGCUAAAACUAUGUGCCGAAGCUGCGGAUGUAUACUUUGUAUACGUGGUAGGGGAGCGUUCUGUAAGCCGAUGAAGGUGUGUUGAGAAGCAUGCUGGAGGUAUCAGAAGUGCGAAUGCUGACGUGAGUAACGACAAAACGGGUGAAAAACCCGUUCGCCGAAAGACCAAGGGUUCCAGUCCAACGUUAAUCGGGGCUGGGUGAGUCGACCCCUAAGGCGAGGCCGAAAGGCGUAGUCGAUGGGAAAAUGGUUAAUAUUCCAUUACUUCUGUGUAAUGCGAUGAGAGGACGGAGAAGGCUAAAUCAGCCUGGCGUUGGUUGUCCAGGUGAAAGGAUGUAGGCAUGUAUCUUAGGCAAAUCCGGGGUACUCUAUGCUGAGAUCUGAUAGCAAGCUGUACUUGUACAGCGAAGUGGUUGAUGCCAUGCUUCCAGGAAAAGUCUCUAAGCUUCAGUUACACAGGAAUCGUACCCGAAACCGACACAGGUGGUCAGGUCGAGUAGACCAAGGCGCUUGAGAGAACUCUGCUGAAGGAACUAGGCAAAAUGGUACCGUAACUUCGGGAGAAGGUACGCUGUUGUUGGUGAUGGAACUCGCUUCCUGAGCUGACGACAGCCGCAGAAACCAGGCCGCUGCAACUGUUUAUUAAAAACAUAGCACUCUGCAAACACGAAAGUGGACGUAUAGGGUGUGAUGCCUGCCCGGUGCUGGAAGGUUAAUUGAUGGGGUUAGCGUAAGCGAAGCUCUUGAUCGAAGCCCCAGUAAACGGCGGCCGUAACUAUAACGGUCCUAAGGUAGCGAAAUUCCUUGUCGGGUAAGUUCCGACCUGCACGAAUGGCAUAAUGAUGGCGGCGCUGUCUCCAGCAGAGGCUCAGUGAAAUCGAAAUCGCUGUGAAGAUGCAGUGUACCCGCGGCUAGACGGAAAGACCCCGUGAACCUUUACUGCAGCUUGACACUGAACUUUGACCUUACUUGUGUAGGAUAGGUGGGAGGCUUUGAAGCUGGAACGCUAGUUCCAGUGGAGCCGUCCUUGAAAUACCACCCUGGUAAUGUUGAGGUUCUAACUCUGUCCCGUGAUCCGGGACGAGGACCGUGUCUGGUGGGUAGUUUGACUGGGGCGGUCUCCUCCUAAAGAGUAACGGAGGAGUACGAAGGUGCGCUCAGCGUGGUCGGAAAUCACGCGUAGAGUAUAAAGGCAAAAGCGCGCUUAACUGCGAGACCCACAAGUCGAGCAGGUACGAAAGUAGGUCUUAGUGAUCCGGUGGUUCUGUAUGGAAGGGCCAUCGCUCAACGGAUAAAAGGUACUCUGGGGAUAACAGGCUGAUACCGCCCAAGAGUUCAUAUCGACGGCGGUGUUUGGCACCUCGAUGUCGGCUCAUCUCAUCCUGGGGCUGAAGCAGGUCCCAAGGGUAUGGCUGUUCGCCAUUUAAAGAGGUACGCGAGCUGGGUUUAGAA